UUAACUGAAACCAAAAUAGAGGUAUAUUACUGUUAAUAAUAAAAUUGAAUAAAAUAUUCCAGUUAAG
RNAcentral lists this transfer RNA (67 nucleotides) under Rhabdoblattella disparis. RNAcentral describes it as "tRNA-Asn". Lineage: Eukaryota; Metazoa; Arthropoda; Insecta; Blattodea; Blaberidae. The record is from RNAcentral.